Molecule: ribosomal RNA, 460 nt
Filed under: uncultured bacterium
Lineage: Bacteria
Description: partial 16S ribosomal RNA
Rfam family: Bacterial small subunit ribosomal RNA
Source: RNAcentral
CCUACGGGAGGCAGCAGUGAGGAAUAUUGGUCAAUGGGCGAGAGCCUGAACCAGCCAAGUCGCGUGAAGGAUGACGGCCCUCCGGGUUGUAAACUUCUUUUGUCAGGGAGCAAUUGAGUCCACGUGUGGGCUUAGCGAGCGUACCUGAAGAAAAAGCAUCGGCUAACUCCGUGCCAGCCGCCGGGGUAAUACGGAGGAUGGGAGCGUUCUCCGUAUUUAUUGGGUUUGAAGGGUGCGUAGGCGGAAUAUCAAGUCAGCGGUAAAAUGUCCGGGCUAAACCCGGGCGUGCCGUUGAUACUGGGGAUCUUGAGUGCGCGAGAAGUGUGUGGAACGCGUGGUGUAGCGGUGAAAUGCAUAGAGAUCACGCAGAACACCGAUUGCGAAGGCAGCUUACCGGCGCCCGACUGACGCUGAGGCACGAAAGCGUGGGUAUCGAACAGGAUUAGAUACCCCUGUAGUC